Molecule: ribosomal RNA, 468 nt
Filed under: uncultured bacterium
Lineage: Bacteria
Description: partial 16S ribosomal RNA
Rfam family: Bacterial small subunit ribosomal RNA
Source: RNAcentral
GACGAACGCUGGCGGCGUGCUUAACACAUGCAAGUCGAACGGAAAGGCCCUGCUUUUGUGGGGUGCUCGAGUGGCGAACGGGUGAGUAACACGUGAGUAACCUGCCCUUGACUUUGGGAUAACUUCAGGAAACUGGGGCUAAUACCGGAUAGGAGCUCCUGCUGCAUGGUGGGGGUUGGAAAGUUUCGGCGGUUGGGGAUGGACUCGCGGCUUAUCAGCUUGUUGGUGGGGUAGUGGCUUACCAAGGCUUUGACGGGUAGCCGGCCUGAGAGGGUGACCGGCCACAUUGGGACUGAGAGACGGCCCAGACUCCUACGGGGGGCAGCAGUGGGGAAUAUUGCACAAUGGGCGGAAGCCUGAGGCAGCAACGCUGCGUGCGGGAUGAAGGCCUUCGGGGUGUAAACCGCUUUCGCCUGUGACGAAGCGUGAGUGACGGUAAUGGGUAAAGAAGCACCGGCUAACUACGUG